AUUGAACGCUGGCGGCAUGCCUAACACAUGCAAGUCGAGCGAGCGCCGGGCGGGUGAGUACUGUCUGGGAAACCGCCUGACGGAGACGGAUAAAUGCUGGAAACGGUUGCGAAUCCCGCACACCAUCAGCUGUGCCCAGAUGGGAUUAGCUAGAAGGGGGGGUAACUGCUCACCUAGGCGACGAUCCCUUGCUGGUCUGAGAGGAUGACCAGCCACACUGGAACUGAGACACGGGCAAGACUCCUACGGGAGGCAGCAGUGGGGAAGAUUGGACAAUGGACGCAAGCCUGAUGCAGCAAUGCCGCGUGUGUGAAGAAGGCUGUCGGGUUGUAAAGCACUUUCAGCGGGGAGGCGUUACCCGCAGAAGAAGCACCGGCUAACUCCGUGCCAGCCGCCGCGGUAAUAC
Molecule: ribosomal RNA, 406 nt
Filed under: uncultured bacterium
Lineage: Bacteria
Description: partial 16S ribosomal RNA
Rfam family: Bacterial small subunit ribosomal RNA
Source: RNAcentral